Non-coding RNA from Phyllopteryx taeniolatus (common seadragon), 1442 nucleotides. Lineage: Eukaryota; Metazoa; Chordata; Actinopteri; Syngnathiformes; Syngnathidae. The record is from the annotation of a RefSeq genome assembly.
CAUUCACUUGAAUGUUUCCAUGUGACUUGGCUGCUCGGUGUGAGGGCCAAUACACAACUCUUUGCAAUCUUCAUGAACUGUCGCGUCACUUGCACUUAGUUUCUACAAGUGUCUGUUUCUCCCCCAUCCAACUUUGUUCUGUCAGUCUGCAAUAGGGUGGAGUUUGAGUCACGUGACGACAUUGUGAGGUAAGAGCUCGAGCGCAGAAGAGAAGAGCGGAGUUGACAGAAAUUCAUUCAGCAUGUUGCUGUGUGCUUGGUCGCUGCUCGUCAUCACUGUGGCAGGCGCCAGCGGUGACCAGCUCGAGGCAGUCACGGGCGAAGUGUUGGCGUCAGAAGGCAAACAGGUGACACUGUCGUACGUUUACGCCACAGGGUCUUCUGGUACUGAUAUUUUCUUCUGGUACCAACAACUUCCUGGACAAGCGCCACACUUGCUGCUUUCACACUUGGGAACCGGCAGCCCGUUAAGCGCCAAGCCAGGAAUAUCGGCGAGCGUGGAAAGUGACAGGAGACGAGUGCACCUGCACAUCGAGGAUGUGACAAUUGAGCACUCUGCGGUGUACUACUGUGCCGUGAUGCCGCACAGUGACACAAGCGCCACAUUCUCGUUACAAGAACAUUUCCUCUUCCUCAGCUCAUCACAUCACACUCCCCUCUAGUAUCUUCCAAAAAAAAUCUCCAAAUCCAUCAAAGAAAAAACUUUAUUUACCUUGUUUCAAAUUAUUAUGCACAUUAGUGUUCCAAGACAUUUUAUAGGUUUUAAAGAACUGAAAAUAGUUGGACUCAAAUUUGGGAAUAUGGCCUGUUGUUUGAUAGCAGCUUCCCAAUUCUUGCAUCCAUUGGACUUUUGGGAGAAGUUCUGUUUUGAAUUUCUUUGCGGGAUGUCACAAAAGCCUCCCAGAGCUGCUGUUUGGUUGUGAACUGCCUCCCAACCUCCUACAAACCCCAAUUCCAAUGAAGUUGUGCAAAACAUACAUAAAAACAGAAUACAAUGAUUUACAAAUCAUUUUCAAACUAUAUUCAAUUAACUACAGCGCAAAGACAAAAUAUUUCAUGUUCAAACUGAUAUUGUUUUUUUUUUGUGCAAAUAUUCACUCGUUUUGAAUUUGAUGCCUGCAACACGUUCCAAAAAAGCAUUUUUCACCUUUCCUUUUAACAACACUCAGUAAGCGUUUGGGAACUGAGGACACAAAUUGUUGGAGCUUUGCAGCUGGAACAUUUCCCAAUUUUUGCCAACUUAAGUUGCUCAACGGGGUCUCUGUUGUCGUAUUUUGCACUUCAUAAUGUGCCACGCAUUUUCAAUGGCAGAGAGGCCUCGACUGUUGGCGGGCCAGUCUUGUACGCGCACUCUUUUACUCCAAAGCCACGAUUUUGUAACACGGGAAGAAUGUGGCUUGGUAUUGUCUUGCUGAAAUAAGCAGUGACAUCCCCCCAAAAAAG